Molecule: ribosomal RNA, 776 nt
Filed under: uncultured bacterium
Lineage: Bacteria
Description: bacterial SSU rRNA
Rfam family: Bacterial small subunit ribosomal RNA
Source: RNAcentral
UCGCACGAGAAAGCAGGAGCAAUCUUGUGAGUAAAGUGGCGUACGGGUGAGUAACACGUGGAUCAUCUACCUUUUAGUGGGGAAUACCCCUGGGAAACCGGGGACAAUACCGCAUAAGCUCGUAAGAGGAAAGCCGAAAGGCGCUGAAAGAGGAGUCCGCGGCUGAUUAGCUAGUUGGCGGGGUAACGGCCCACCAAGGCGAAGAUCGGUAGCCGGCCUGAGAGGGCACACGGCCACACUGGCACUGAAACACGGGCCAGACUCCUACGGGAGGCAGCAGUGGGGAAUCUUGCACAAUGGAGGAAACUCUGAUGCAGCGACGCCGCGUGAGCGAUGAAGCCCUUCGGGGUGUAAAGCUCUUUCGACGGGAACGAUAAUGACGGUACCCGAAGAAGAAGCUGCGGCUAACUACGUGCCAGCAGCCGCGGUAAUACGUAGGCAGCGAGCGUUGUUCGGAAUUACUGGGCGUAAAGAGUGUGUAGGCGGUGCUCUAAGUCUGUUGUGAAAUCUCCCGGCUUAACUGGGAGGGUGCGGCGGAAACUGGAAUGCUAGAGUGUGGGAGAGGUAAGCGGAAUUCCUGGUGUAGCGGUGAAAUGCGUAGAUAUCAGGAGGAACACCUGUGGUGUAGACAGCUUACUGGACCACGACUGACGCUGAUACACGAAAGCGUGGGUAGCAAACAGGAUUAGAUACCCUGGUAGUCCACGCCCUAAACGAUGCAUACUUGGUGUGAGCGAUUCAUUUCGUUCGUGCCGGAGCUAACGCGUUAAGUAUGC